Molecule: long non-coding RNA, 28476 nt
Filed under: Medicago truncatula (barrel medic)
Lineage: Eukaryota; Viridiplantae; Streptophyta; Magnoliopsida; Fabales; Fabaceae
Description: long non-coding RNA (MTRU_LNC008113)
Source: RNAcentral
GAUUUUGUUCAUGAUAAGCAAUAAUCCAGUGGCAGCAGAGAAUAAAAGAGCAGAGGACAGUUUCAUAGCCAUAAGUGGUGCACCUUCCCCGUUUGUGACAGCUGCAACACCAGACAUGGUUGUAGCAGUGAGAGUAAUCAUAUUUAUUGAGUUUAAUAGAAGAUUAUUCCAGUUGUUACGUUGUUCGCCAAUGUUGUGAUGCAUUUCUAUUCUGUCUGAUACAGCUUCCAAGACUGCAUAGAGUUGAACUGUAGCAUUANNNNNNNNNNNNNNNNNNNNNNNNNNNNNNNNNNNNNNNNNNNNNNNNNNNNNNNNNNNNNNNNNNNNNNNNNNNNNNNNNNNNNNNNNNNNNNNNNNNNNNNNNNNNNNNNNNNNNNNUCAUUGUUUUGUAGUUUUAAUUCUUGAUCAACAACUUGUUUUCUGGUUUGAAUAGUUGGCAAUGAAAUAUUUGGGAGUUUUGGAAGAUUAAUUGCAGCGUUAAUUACUCUCUUUGAAGAUGAUAAAGAACAAGAAGUUAGAACUGAAGUUUGUAAUAUUGAAGCCAUGAUAUAUACAAAUUAAUAAUAUUUGAAGGUGUUUGCUUUGUGUUAAUUUAGGAUAGUGUAUAGUUGGGGAAAUAAAAAGGUUUUGGUUUUUUGUUGUAAUAUUGUUUGAAUGUUUUAUAUUUUGUAAGGUGGUAUGCAAUAUUUAUAUGCCAAAGAGAAUGGGAAGGGGUCAAAAUCAAAUAAGGAAACUAUGAUUGACCAAUUGAAUUAAUUAAAAAUUGACAUAGUCUCUAUUCAAAAUUCCAAGCCUUGUGUAUGUUGGGUGGUCUCAACAUGCAACGUUGUACAAAUAAAACCACAAUUAAGGCUGCGUUACAUGCAAGAAUUAUGAAACUAAGUAGUAGCUUGGUAAUUAGCAUGCAACAAAGGCUAUGGACUUUUUCUCUAUUUCAUUUCAUUCACUAAUUUUUUACUUUUCAUUUGUCAUUAUAUAAGCUAUAUAUGGCUAGUGCUCCAUUAGUUUUAGAAAUGUCUUUGGGUUUGGUCAUACCAUUUGUCAAUAUAUAAGCCAUCUUCAGUAUUUUACUUUUAAAAAUUUGAAUAUUCUUCUAUGUGGAAUUUUGUUUUGGUAGUCAAAACAAUUAAGAUGCACUCUCAACUAAUGUUCCAUAAUUAAACUCUGAAUCAAAUAGAGAAUCAAGUAUCUACCAUUUAUGUUACAUCGUGUUGGUUUAGUUUUUUGGUUGACCUUUUAUUAUUUUAAUUUAAUAUUUGAAGAAUGAGAAAAUAUAAUUUCAAAUCAAUAUAGAUAUAAAAGGAUUGACUAAAUCUACCAAAAAAAAUAUUGAAUAAUAAAUAAAUGUUUUGGAAUGGAAACAAGCAUGUCAACGUAAAAUGUCUAAAGAGGAUGGAUACCAACCUUAAAGCAACUACUAUCAAAUAAAGAUUUGGGGUUGAAUUAUUAUAGAAAAGAAAUGUUCAGGGGAAUUGAGUUGUGUUCUUAUGACCAAAGAAUAUUUGUGAAACAGACAUAGACAUAUUAGAGUUUGUUUUUUCGUGAGCAUUUUUUUUUUUUUAUUAUUUCUUUAACUAACAGCUAAAUAUACCACUUGUAAAUCCAAAAGAGUGGUUGAAAUAGAUCAUGAUAUGUAUUAUUUUAUAUUUUUUGAAGGAAUGUGUAUUAUUUUAUUGUAUACUUAAUAUAAGGUACAUGUGAUAUAAUAUAUAUCUAUAGGUAAAUAACAAAACUACCUUAUAAAAAAAUUGUUAAAAAAAAAAAUUGAAAUUCAGAUUUUAAUUAUUUUUUAUUUUUAAUAUUUUAAUUUCAUCUGAUUGUUAAUUUUCUAGAUUAUAUAGUAUGACAAAACAAAUUAGAAGAGAUAAAAUCAAAGGAGUACCAAAUGACAUUACAUUUGUUUAAAGAUAAAAUGGGCGGACACUAAUAUUUUCAAGAUAAAAUCAUACAACAUUUGUUUAAAGUUAAUCGUAAAGAAUAAUAUUUUUAAUUUUCAAUUUUAUAUUAAUUUUAUAAUAUAUGUUUAUAGGAGUAUUUGAUUUGAUUAUUUUUUGAAAACUUAUAUUUUAUAUGAAAAAAUUAGUAAAUUAUUUCAUUAUUUAUCCUAUCAUGUUUGUUUCUAAUCUAGUCUCUAUCUACGAUAACAUUUUAAAAAACAAGAGCGGUAGGAUAUUCUAAGGUUCGUGAAUAUCUUAUCAUACCAUAUUGAUUCAUCGAAUAAUGGAUUUAAAUAAGAUAUCUGAUAUGUAACUUAUCUUAUACCGUGACUUUUAUCCUUAGCCAUAAAAAAAUGUGAUGCAAUUUUAUUAACUGACCCCACUACUUACUAACCAACUGCCAAUCUCGUAUCACGAGGAGUUAGAUCGAUUUAUGAAAAUAAAUAAAUUUAAAAAAUAAAAAAUAUAUUUUCUAAUGUACAACUUAUAUGAAAAUUUUUAAAAAUUAUAAGAUGUAUUCAAAGUUAAUAUUGUCAAACAAAUAUAAAAGGUCUAAUUUUUACUUCUCAAGUUUUGGUCAUCAUUGUUUCAUAGAGUUAAAAUCAUUGAUUUUCAUUGCAAGUAAAUUUUUUAGCAAUUUAAUUUUCAAGGAUAAUACUAGCCUAUAAAUGAGGAAAUAAAUAUACUAUUUCAAGGAUAUAAUAAAAGAUGAGCACCUUGAGGCUUGCGAUGAAAUGACAAGACUAAAGCAAUUUUGGAAUUGCAAAGAAAGAAAAUAUAUAAUGAAAUUGCAAACGUAUGUGGAUGAGUUUACGAUGAAAUUGCAAGUGGUGAAUUGUUGAUAGUGCACAAACAAAAUUGCGGAUAAUUAAUCAAAACAAUUGAGCAACAUUGCAAUGAGGAGAACUCAUAAACUUGGUUCUGGUUAAGGAUUUUUUUUUUUUUUUUUAAAUUUUCGACAAAUUUUUUUUUUUUUUUUUUCUGUUGUUAAGGAGAACAUUAUACCCUAUGCCCCCACAUUUGUACUUUCACCCUUACAAAUCAUUUAUAAUUCCAAUUUUAUCCUUUUUUUUGACAUCAAUUCACCCGUACAUGACAUUAUAUGUUUCAAACAACUUCUUUAAAUAUUUUACCGAAUAACUAUCAAAUAUGUUUCCGGUUUGUUUUAAUUUUAAAAAAUUCAUAUUACCUUUCAAAAAAUUCAAACCGGAAAACAACAAUAAAGUUAUCCAUUUGUUGUUGAUUCUCGUAAAACUAAGCAUGAUGUUUCUAGAAUUGGUACCUGCGUUCUUUAUGAUGAUUUCCAUGUUGAUUGUUUACAAACACAAUGUUUCUGGAAUUCUUUCCAAUCAUUUUAGAAAACAAUUAAUAAUAAAAAAACAUUAUUUUUAACAAUUUAAUAAAAAAAAAUUAUCGUUUCAGAAUUCUUUAUAGACGUUUCCCGUAAACGCAUAAACACAAACUAGAAUCGUUGCAAAAUCGUAGAACCGUCGCAAAAUUGUGUCAAAAUUGCAGCAAAGUUGUACCAAAUCCGAACCUGAAUCGUGAUAUGCGUUUUCCGCUAACGACAUCUAAACUGCAAUCUUUGUUAACCCUAUCCUAAACAGAAACACAUAUCCAUGUUUUUGAAUGCCAUAGGGGAUGUUUACGACAGUAAAACGCAAACUAGAAGAAUAAAAUUAAUGAUUCUAGAACUCACUUUCGUUGACUUGAAAAUCAGUGAUUCACUGAUUUUUGGGAGAAAGUUUCUAUAAGGGAUGAAUAUUGUUGUUGGGGUGCAACCUAAGUUUGUUUUUCGGAAAGGGAGAAGUUGUCUGGUAUAGAAUUGUUGGGGUAACCAAGUUGCUUGGGCUCCAGUGGCAAGGAGCUCCUUCCAAGGACGUACCCGGAGAAUAUCGGGUUCGAUUCCCAGGGGGAACAACACUUGGCCAGUGCGCAUGCCUCUACGCACGAGCCGGAUUAGUCGCCCACUUUUGGGGGGUCGGAAACCGGUGCGAAAGCCAAAAAAAACCUGAAACUUUGGGGUGAAGGGCUAGAUAGACAAAAAAAAAUCUGAAGUAGUUUGAGGGUAAAAUGGAUAAUUUAUGUAAAAUUUUAGGGUGAGAGUAUAAUUGUAGGGGUAUGGCGUAUAAUUUCAUGUUAAGGAUGGUGCAAUUAAACUUCGAAACAAGUGUUUAGGCCCAAUAUAUUUGGUUAGAAAAAUGUCCAAUAGCUACAAUUUCAUAUUAAAAAAACAGAGAAAAAAAAUACAUAAUAACAUAGUAGUAUAAAAAAAAUUGAAAAGUUUGAGAGGACCAUUGUCACUUGUUAGUGAGUGUUGGUCUCCCUUUUAGCUACGUCCUUGAUUAGAUAGUAACAACCUUAAUUUUAAGAAAACAUAUAAUCAUCUUUAAAAAAAAAAAAACAUAUAAUCAAUUUAAAUAUUCGGGAAAUCAUAACAUUCAGAUCUAAUAAAACAUAUAAUCAAUUUAAGAAAACAUAUAAUCAAUUUACGUACACACUGAGGCUUUGUUUGAGAGUUUGGAAGGGGAGGGAAGGGAGGGGAGGGUUUUGGGGGGUUGGAAAUAUAUAGAAAAAUGGACAAAAAAUUCACAUUUUUUGAAAGAACAGGUUUUUUAGAGAAUGAUAAAUUAAUACUUAUGAUUAAUAUACUUUUAAUUUUAAGAAUAUUAUAACAACAUAGAUUGAAUUUGAAAAAUUCAUAUAAACCUUCCAUAACCCCCCAAAACCCACCCCCAAUACAAUUUUUGAGUUCCCCCAAAUGAGGGGAAUUUUUUAUUAUAAGUAAAAAAUUAACCUCCAAAGCCCUCUCCUCCCAAUGUCUUCUAUUUCCUCAACUUGCUCCUUCAUUUUUUUCCAAAACCCUCCCCUCCCCUCCAAACUCCCAAACAAAGCCUAAAAAAAAAUUGAAAUUUAGCUUCAAACAUUUUAGCGUCAAACCAUUUAUGAUGUUAAUAGCAUAGUAUCUAUUUAGCAUCCACUAAAUCUAACACAAAUGUCUCUUUCUUUCUUUUUUUACGCAAAUUCAUAAACUAUGAUCGUUAAAGCUAAUUAUUUCUAAUGUCUACUAAAUUUGGACGCUAAUUUUCCUAUCGUUUAAAUAGUGUCUAUUAAUUGUUAAGCUAAAAUAUUUUUACCCAAAUUUUUUAACACUUCUAUUUUCACAUAUUCCUUAAUUUUUCCACCAUUAUUUGUACAUUUCCCUCAUUCUUACUAAAAAAAUCUCAACUUUACUCCGACUCAAGCUAAAUUGGGGAAGAAAAGAUAUAUAUCAUGAAUUCUCCUACUCAAUUACAUUAUAUAUGAAGUUAAAAAUUAUAUACAGAAUCAGAUCGCUGUAAUCUAUAUUUACAUUUGUUUUCUAUGUUAUGAAAGAAUUAAAGAAUGUCUAUUGUCUUGAAGAAAUAAUAUCUCAGAAGAGCUUGCUGGCAAAUUCAUCUAUUUCGAUACUUUCCAUGCGACAAGAAGCUGAUUUUGAGGCAAGUUCCCUCAGCUCUGUGACACUUCUUCCCAAUCGCAAAGCCAUUUUCAAUUCAAAUAGCUCUCCAUUUUCUCUUUUCUCUAAAUCUUUCUCUCCCAAAGUUGAUUCAAUUGAAGUUUCUAACAAGUUGAAAAAACCAGCAGAAGCUCUAUACAUUUCAAAAACCAUGCCAACUUGUCCACCAUGCUCAAAAGUAUUAACAGCAGAAGCCAAUGAACCAGUCAAUAGAGGAACAAAUGCAGCCAAAGAACUAUUGCCUACAAAUGUAGAUCCAAUUGCUGCAAUUCCUGUGAGUAAUGGCCCUGCAAUUGCCAAACUCUUGUUUACCUUCAACGCUAUGUUUCCAAGUCUGUCAUAAUCUUCAGAAUCUUUUCUCUUGAUCACUUCAGCGACUUCCUGCAUUUCCAUUUCUAAUUCUUCACUCCAUCCAUUGUUCAUUUUCCCCAUCUUCUUGCUUUGAGUUUUUACCUUUUUGGAAAUAGGCCACCAAUUAGCAGGUUCAAAUUUUGAAGGGUAUUUUUCAAGCAUUGCUCCCAAUAAAGGAAGAGGGUAUGCUUUAUCAAUUGCCAAAACCUUUUCCAUUGCAUCUUUGACAUCUUCCUCGGUAGGAUUUCCAAUAGCAAUUGUAGUUUUGAUAUGACUUUGAAGUUGCUUGAACAAUCUUGUAGCAUUUCUUUGUUCCUCUGUGAGUUGAGAGGGUUGGAUUUUGUUCAUGAUAAACAAUAAUCCAGUGGCAGCAGAGAAUAAAAGAGCAGAGGACAGUUUCAUAGCCAUAAGUGGUGCACCUUCCCCGUUUGUGACAGCUGCAACACCAGACAUGGUUGUAGCAGUGAGAGUAAUCAUAUUUAUUGAGUUUAAUAGAAGAUUAUUCCAGUUGUUACGUUGUUCGCCAAUGUUGUGAUGCAUUUCUAUUCUGUCUGAUACAGCUUCCAAGACUGCAUAGAGUUGAACUGUAGCAUUAGAAAUUGUAGAAUGCUUUUGUUGUUGAUCUUGUAAUAUUUGUGUGAUGUUGUUGUUUUCUAAUAAUGGAGUAUUUUUGUACUGUUUGAUUACUUUUAGUUCUUGAUCAUCAACUUGUUUUCUAGUUUGUAUCUUUGACAAUGAAAUAUUUGUGAGUUUUGGGAGAUGGAUUGAAGCAUUAAUUACUUUCUUUGAAGAUGAUGAUAAAGAACAAGAAAUUGGAACUGAAGUUUGUAAUAAAGCCAUGAUAUAUAUGAAUUAAUAUUAUUUGAAGGGUGUUUAUAUGAAAGGUUUUAGUUGAAUGUUAAUAUGUGUAAGGUGGUAUGAAUAUUUAUAUAUAUAGCAAAGAACGAAAGAGAAGGGGUCAGAAUGAAACAAAGAAACCCUGAUUGACCAGUUUAAUUGAAAUAGUCUCUGUUCAAAAUUCCCAGCCUUGUCCUUAGUUUGGGUCACACUCAACAUACGACAUAGUAAAAUUAAAACCAUAAUUAAGACUGAACAAUAGUACUGCGUUACAUGCAAGAAAAACGAAACUACGUAGUAGCUUGGUAAUUAGCAUAUAACAAAUUAAAACUAUGGACUUUAUCUCUUCAUUCACCAAUUUAAUCCUUUUACUUUUAAAUUGUCAAUAUAAUCUAUGGCUAAUGCUCCAUUUUAGAAAUGUCUUUUAUUUUGAAGUGUCUUUCAGUUUGGCCACACCAACAUUGUUUUGACUCAACUGGCCAUAUACCAUAGGUCUUAAAAUGUUCAACAUUUAUAAUUUCAUAAAAUUUGAAUUUUCAGUUCGUUGCUAUAUAUCUUCUGUUCGGACUUAAUUUGCUUAAUUAAUUUAUUAUAUAUCAAAUAAAAUUUGAAGACCGGGGAAAAAUAAUAUUUGAAAUCAAUUGAGUAUAUAUUUUUUUUUUGAUCAAGCAAAGAAAUACUAUAAAAGACCUGGAGAGGGCCAGAUCCCUUAACAACAAAGAAGCUUACAUCAAAACAAAAAGAAGGUGCAAAACAUUAUAUCACGGAGAUCUAUAACAAGAAAGACUUGUGCAAAUCGUGAAUGAAAUAAACUAACAAUGAUACUGCUAAAAGAAGAACAACAGAGAAAUGGCAGAAGCUACUAGCUUAACAACCAUGUUCACAAAGAUUUGAACCAACUAUUCAGUAUAUGGCAGGACAGCUUUGGAGGUACCCUUUUGAGCACGGGUCCUCAUUCCGGUUGAGUUGAAGCUAGUAGGCUUCACUUUGUUCGCCUGCUUCUUCUGCUUUUUGCAAUGGAAACAAGCAUGUCAACCUAAAAAGUGCAAAGAGGAUACCAACCUAAAUUUAAAGCAAUCCACUUUCAAAUUCAGAACUGUUGUCAAAUAAAAAACUAUCAACUCACUUGGGUUGAUAGUUACAUGAGAUGAUUCAAGUUUCCUUCGACUUAAUUAAAGGUUUUGGAGUUUGAAAUCCAGCUUUUGUUUUUACAUAUUUCAGCUUUGGAAAUAUAACCACGUUGAAACUCCUAAAGCGGUCUUGUAAUUACUCCUCACUUGAUAGCCGCAUGGAUAUUUGAUUUGUUGGUGUGCAAGUUUGAACCCUACGAUUAUGCACUUCUCCAAAUUCUUCAUCAUUACUAGUAUCAUUGUCUUGUUCGAUUCGUCAUGAAUGGUACCAUUGAUUCGAACGUUCAUGCUUUUUGAUGUAUAAGUUAGUUGUGUACUCAUGUCUCCUAUUAGACAUGCGAAGUUGUUUAUUAUUUCAUUGUUUCGUUUCAUGUUUAUCAUGGACUAUUGUGUGAACUAAUUCAAAACAUUUUAUAUACUAUACGGUCUUUCUUCCUCGGGAGGAUGUUGAUAGUACAAUUGAUAUAAUUGAUACUCAUAUUCAAUAUAGUUGUUGUUGUAACCACGAUCAUAUCCGUCAUGACUCUAUCUCCUAUGGAGAAUCUGAAAAGGAAAUAACUAAAAAGAAGGUUUUAUUUGGCUAGAAAAAGAGGGGUUAGUGGCAAACACAAAUACUAAACUAUAAAAAAAAAAUUAUAAAUACUCAAAACAAUAUAAAUCGUUGUGAUGCUCCAAUAUCUUAAACACAAGUCCCAACAAUGACGCCAUUUGAUGAGUUGUUUCUAUCGAGGCAUCAAAAAUAAGUAUUCAGUUCCCUCAAAAAAAAAGUAUUCAGAGUAUGAAAGUAGGGUUUGUUUGUACAUAUAAGUGGGAUCUUUGCAGUUAAUUAAAAUCGAAAACAAAGAGCAGAAAGAUAAUAUUGUAGGAAUUUUUCUUCGUUAUCUAAUGCCCUUCCUAGAUCGUCGAUUAUAUAUUUCUAAAGUUCAAUUAUGCUUACACAUGUCCCUCAUCAUUUGUUUCCAUGCCUUGCAAACAACGCAAGAUCUGUUAUACAUAUUAACUUAUGAUGUCUCGUUCAGUUAAUCGGUUCAAUGACAUUAAGAUCAUACAUCGAAUGUGAGUGCAAAUUAGCCCUAUGCCGAGCAACUAGCAUUCACAAAUGAAAUUAUUUUAGAUCCCGUAAAUAAAAAGUCGACGUCUCGCACUUUCUAAAUCAAAAUAUUAUUUUUGGAUUGCACGCCAGAGAAAAACAUUAAGAACAAAAAUAAAAUAGAGAUUAUUAUAUUCUAUAUAACUAGCCAGAUCAAGUAUCUACAUCAGAACCAUAACAAUUAGACUUAAUCUCAAUAAUAGAGAUGAUUGAAGAAAAGAGAUUUAAUGUUGAAGUUGAUUCCUCCAUCUCCUUUGCCUUGGCUUUCUCCUUCCAUAUGUGUGUGUGUGUUUCUGAGCUUUUUUAAGAAUGCCAAUAUAUAUCAAAAUAUAGAUAUGAGCCCUUUUUUAUAAAUUAUGACAAUUGACAAGUGAGAAUUUUCUCCACGAGCCAAAAUUCGCUCAGCGGAUUGAACUUUCUUCAGGGUUAAGCCUUUUUCGGCUCAGAAAAUGCCUUUUAAGUAGCCUUAGAUUUGCCUAGCGGAUUCUUGCUUGCCGAACAGGUUUGAAUGGAUUCAAAAUAGUGAAAAAUCUAGGACUUUCUGCUUGGACUCACUUCUAGAUCGCUUUGGCUCGCGUAGUGGAAUUGCUUAAACUUGUAAUUUUUGCUCUUUUCCUUCUCCUUCGCAAUAGAACUCAAAAGACCUAAAAAAAAAAAGGAAAACAAGUAAAAGUAGCUUAUCCAGCAUAAAAGGUAUAAGAACAUAGUAUUUACAUGAAAUUGAAAUUUUUUUCUUGAGAUUACUUGCAAAACAAGUUAAUAAUUGUCAUGAAUAAACAUGUAAUUUAAUAGAAAAUUGGUACUUAUCUGGGCAAAAUGGUACAUAUUUUGAAAAUUUUGUCCUGAUGACAUUAUGACACUGCAUACAUGUACUACAUACUUGACAGUAUUGUAGCAAAGUCUUAAUUUGUAUUCAUAUCCACUCAUGUAUCGUGUGAAAGGAGGAUCUAUCGGUUGAAAUAUAUUUGUGUUGUAUUUGUGCUUGUGACACUCGCGACAAAAUAGCAAAGCUUUUUCUGGAGUGCUUUGAUAGGUGGCGGCCAAGGGGUGCAUGGUGUCAACAUGGUUGGAAUGUCUUGGCUUAUCAUGUAGUACAUUUGCACUUAUUAUGGAAUUAUAUCUUAUUGUUUAAAAGAAAAAUUGUUUUCAAUACUCUCAAUCAAUCAAAGAAUAGUUUUACUUAUGUCUUUCCUAAAUUUAGUAGUUCUCAAAAUCUCCAAAAAUUCAUACAUUGCACUAUUUGGAAGAACUAAAGACCACACAGUUAAGGGACAUAGUUCAUUCAUUUGGCAUAACCACUUGACGAAAAAGAAAUCACUAUUGAGAACUAUUAGUUGAAUCAUCGCCUAACUUUUAACUUCGAUAACAAGAGACUAAAUGAAGCAAAAUAAGGAAAAGAAUAUAGUUAUUAUGAAUUCUCCUACUCAAUUAGAGGAUGAAGUUUGAAAUUAUAUUUGCAAAAUCAGAUCUCUGUUGGCUAUCUUUACAUUUGCUUUCUAUGUCAAAGUACUAACAAUGAAUAUACAUAAAAUAAUGUGAAUUAGGAUCUAUACAUGAAAGAACAAAAUAAUGUGUUAAUAUUGAAGAUUAUCUCAGAAUAGCUUGCUGGAAAAUUCAUCUAUGUCAACACCUUCGAUGCGACAAGAAGCUGAUUUUGUGGCACGUUCCCUCAGCUCUGAUACAUUUCUUCCCAAUUGCAAAGCCAUUUUCAUUUCAAAUAGCUCUCCAUUUUCUCUUUUCUCUAAAUCUUUCUCUCCCAAAGUUGAUUCAAUUGAAGUUUCUAACAAGUUGAAAAACCACCAGAAGCUCUACAUUUCAAAAACCAUGCCAACUUGUCCACCAUGCUCAAAAGUAUUAACUGCAGAAGCCAAUGAACCAGCCAAUAGAGGAACAAAGGCAGCCAAAGAGCCAUUGCCUAUAAAUGUAGAUCCAAUAGCGGCAAUUCCUGUGAGUAAUGGCCCUGCAAUUGCUAAACUCUUGUCUACCUUCAAAGCUAUGUUUCCAAGCCUGUUAUAAUCUUCAGCAUCUUUUCUCUUUAUCACUUCAACAACUUCCUGCAUGUAGAUCCAAUUGCUGCAAUUCCUGUGAGUAAUGGCCCUGCAAUUGCCAAACUCUUGUUUACCUUCAACGCUAUGUUUCCAAGUCUGUCAUAAUCUUCAGAAUCUUUUCUCUUGAUCACUUCAGCGACUUCCUGCAUUUCCAUUUCUAAUUCUUUACUCCAUCCGUUGUUCAUUUUCCCUAUUUUCUUGCUUUGUGUUUUUCCUUUUUUGGAAGGCCACCAAUUAGCAGGAACAAAUUUAGCAGGGUAAUUUUCAAGCAUUGCUCCCAAUAAAGGAAGUGGGUGUGCUUUAUCAUGUGCCAAAACUUUUUCAAUAGCUUCUUUGACAUCUUCUUUAGUAGAAUUUCCAAGAGCAAUUUUUGUUUGGAUUUGACUUUGAAGUUGCUUGAACAAUCUUGUAGUGUUUCAUUGCUCCUCGGCCAAUUGAGAAGGUUGGAUUUUGUUCAUGAUAAGCAACAAUCCGGUGGCUGCAGAAAACAAAAGAGCAGAAGAUAACUUCAAAGCCAAAAGUGAUGAAUCUGAGCAAGUAGUGGGAACAGUAGCAGCAAGACCAGACAUGGUUGUAGCAGUGAGAGUAAUCAUGUUGAUGGAAUUCAAGAGAAGAGUGUUCCAAUUGUUACGUAGUUCACAAAUGUUGUGAUGCAUUUCAAUUCUGUCAGAAACAACUUCCAAGACUGCAUAUUAUUCCUUUCUAAUUGAUCUUUGAAUCCAUUAAAUUCCUCAAUUAGUUGUCUUGUUUUUGAUAAUUGAGAAAUUAGACAAACUUGGGAGUUUUGGAAGAUGGAUAACAGCAUUAACUGUCCUCAAAGAAGAUAAAUUAGCUGCUGCUGAGAAUUGUAUACUAACCAUGUAUUGAUGAGAGAUUAUUUUUCAAAUGAAGAGAGUUUAUGAAAAAUAAUGAAUGGGAGUGGAUGAUAUAUUAUAUAUAUAAUUGACCAUAGAGCAAGGGAAGAGAAUGGAUCAGAAAAUGUGGGAAGAAGUCAUACGUAACCGUAAGAGUAGACUUGGCCUCAUAAUUGACUUCCUCAACAAGCUUGGUUGCAUUGGUUUGUUUCAACAUUGAACAGAGAGGCCACGAAGUAGUAACGCCAACAAACUGCUCCUUCCCACUUGGAUUUCUUUUAUGCAUCAUACUUGAAUUUUAUUUACAUCACUUAUAUUUGUACACCCUCAACAAAAAUUACAUCUGUUCAAAAUCUCGUUACUCAUAUCACAUCACAAACUUAUCAAAAGAGGAUUGCUAUACAUAGCGAUAAAAUCAUCAAGAAGAGAUCACGAACAAUUUGCAACCGUUAGAUCAGGCAAUUUCUAGGAAAACAUGGGCGGGAAAAACUAAAAGGGGUUAUUGCAGCAAUUACUUUCUCACAUAGUGAUUUUAUCGUGACCAAACAAUUCGGGAGAACUAGCAUUUCUCCUUAUCAAAAUUAUCACAUUAGUCUCUUUACUUCUUUCUCUUAUAGAUUGAAGUUCGGAUGUCUAAGAAUCAUUUUCCUUUUAUUUAUUAAACAAUAGAGGAGUCAAUUUUUCUUUUAUUAUAAAAGUAAUGUUAUUCAUUCAAAUUGAAAUAGUAUAUCAUAAAUAAACAUGGAUGUAACAUCCCUAAAAAAAAAAAUCUGCGAACAAAUCAAAGUAAUAGAAAUAUUCAUGCCUAUGAAUCUACAAUAUUGACGAUAUAAUCAUUUAUUGAAGUUUAUAUGUCAAUAUCAACCAAACUAACAUCGUACCAUGACACAACAUCAAACAACAUCGCACCAAGAUGACCACCUUAUCAAUGUUACGCUGAAGUGGCGAAAUCACCAAAAGACACCAAAAAAAAUUAUAGUUUAUGUGAAAACUACUUAUUUAGAACAAGGAAGAAAAAAUAUAUAGAUGAGUGAUUUCAGACAAAAAAAAAUAUAUACAAGAUCACCCCAUUUCCAGUGAACGAAGAAAGAGAAAAUUUAGAGAGAAGAUGAAAUUUAUCUCUCUAAAAAAUUAGGGUCGGUUGUUUCCUUUUAUUUUUAAUUUAAUUAGGGCAUAAUAUUUUAUCAUGACAACGAAUGUAGAGGUGAAUAAUGUUCGAAUUUGACAAGGAGUGGUGUUUGCAUUUACUCGACGUAUUGAACUAGCUCAAGUGGAGAAAACUUCUGGUAAAUCAAAAGAGGUAUGAAUAAGUUUUUGAUACUUAUAAAGUGGUGUUUGCAUUUUGAUUCAAGUCUGUCUGAUAUUUUUUUUAAAAAUUUUGGUCCUCCAAAUAUUUUCCAUCAACACUUUUGUUUUCUAAUUUUAUGUCAGGUCAUGUCACAUGUAUACUUUUCAUAUUUUUGAAUGAGUUUUUUAAAGAAUGUUUGGAAUUAUAAGAAUCUUUUUCAAAAGAAUUAGUUUUUUUUAACAAAACAUGAAUUAAAUAAGAGUUUUUAAGUGUCAAAAACAAAAUAAUUUAAAUACUCAAUAAUUUUUUAAGAGAGAAUUCUUUAAUGAACUGAAUAUGAUUGAAAAAAAAAAUCAAAAUUCUAAAUAAUACACAUGAGUAAACUUAAAAGCAGGGUUCAAUGACUAAAAAUAUUUUAAGGACCAAAUAUUGAAGAAAACUUUUAGAUAGAUUAAAGGCAAAAUUUGAAAAUUUUAAAGAAACUAAAACUUAUUUAACCCAUAAGAAAAAUAUAUCAUAACAUAAUCAUUCAUUUAAAAAAACAUUAACUAUUUUAUGAAGAAAAAAAAAAUCAUAAAUAUAUGAUACAAGAGAAAAAAGGAUUCUAGAUUUUUUUUUUUUUCUUUCAAAUUUUGUUUAGUUUGGUUUUUUUUCAACAAAAUUUUUAUUUAAAAAAAUGAGUAAAUGGUCACUUUGGUCCCUGACUCUGCAUUUCGCGGUCACAAAUGUCCCUGAGUCAAGAUUAAAUACAAAGUAGUCCCUGAAUGUGCACUUCUGUUAUCAGUUUAGUCAUGUUAAAAAACUUAUGUUAACUGAUGAGGCGGCGUGCAUGAGAUGUCACACGGACUAAGUGAAAGAAGAAAUUAGUCACUUUGAUCCCUGAAUCUCAAAUCCCUAAAUCUCUAAAUCCCGAAUUUAAUCCUCAAAUUCUUAAAUCUCUAAAUCUCAUCUAAUUUCCUCUUUGUUCAAUAUCAAUUUCAUUUUUGAGCUGUUGUUAAUCAGUGGAGAUUUGUGGUAAGAAAUGAACAUAGUAAACUCCAAAUCUUUUGUGUUGUCAAUCAAAAGAGUUUAGUUUAUAUGGUGUCGAUUAUUAUAAUUAAUAGUAUGUCUCAUGUCAAAUGUGAUUUUAGUAAAAAAAUCUAUGCAUGUUUCGUAACCGUCAAACAAUUGAGUAUGCCUCCAAACUUUGGCUUAACUAAACAUGAUCAAAAUAGCUUCAACCAUAUCUUAGUUUGUACUAAAACACAUUUAUCAAACAUGCAUGUAAAAACGUACUAAUUAGCUUCAGUGCAUUUUCACUAUAGAAUGAGAGAAAGAUUAUACUUUUUGGAAUUGAUGAGUAAAAUGUGGUGAUUUCUAAUAAACAUUAGAAUUUAGUACAGUCCAUAUAAUUAACAACAACAAAAAAAAAUUCAUUUUGAACAAAAGAGGGAAUUAGAUGAAAUUUAGGGAUUUUAUGAUUAAAUUCGGGAUUUAGGAAUUUGAGAUUCAAUUUCGGAAUAUUGAUUUUCAAUUUAGGGACCAAACGACUAUUUUCCACUUUCAGUUUAAUCUUUGUGACACCUCAUGUACACCACCUCGUAAGUUAAUAGAAGUUUUUAACAUCAGAGACUAAACCGAUUACACAUUCAGAGACUACUUUGUAUUUAAUCCUGAGUCAAUGACCUUUGUGACAGUGAGAUGCGAGUCAUGGACCAAAUUGAUCAUUUGCUAAAAAAAAAUCAUGGGCUCAAACUCGUCACAGACACACAGGUCUAUGAAAGUAUUUACAAGUCUAUCUGAAACUACCCGAGUCUGAAUCUACACGAGUUUGACAGCCAUAGUCUAGCAUUUAUAUUUUUGUCUCUUCUAAGCCAAAUAUUGUUAACAAUAUAUGAUAAAAGAAUGUGGCAAAAAUAAUAAAAUGGCUGGGUCAAAAAAAAAAUAUUAAGAUUACCAUUAAAAUUAUGAUUUUGACAACUUAGAGAAAAACAUGAUAGCAAUAUUAUAUUAAAAAGACAUUUCAAAACUAUAAAUGUCACCAUCUCAUGAGAUUUAAUGUAUUAUUAAUUACGACAUAUGAAAUUAGGUCACAUGUUUUGUGACGGGGAGUAUCAAGCAUGAGCAAGGAAAAGCCUUUGAAUUUUGAUCUCGUAUCGCACGAUGUAAUUUUUGAACGUAUCCAUACAACCGUGUACGAGGUGAAAAUGUUUGAACAGUAAGAGUUGAAUAAUCAAACAAAAUGAAGUCAACCAGUAACACCCAGUCAAAUAGUUUCCUUAUCUGACCCAUUCAUUCUCUUCUUGUUCACACAUCAGUCAUCACCUAUAUAUAUAUAUAUAUAUAUAUAUAUAUAUAUAUAUAUAUAUUACACAACCCACACACAUUUAUUCAACCAUACAAAAUUUCACAAGAAAACCUUAAGAAAUUCAACACACAUAACAAACAUCUACCUAUCUAAUUUCUCAUUAGAUCACAUAUAUGGCUUCUUUACAAGUUUCAUCUAUGCUUUCUUCUUUUUCUUCAGAUCAAAAAAUGAUUAAAUCCUCUUUCAAUGUUCCAAAACUCCCUAAAGCUCUUUCCAUAGUUCCAAAAACAAGACCAAGCAGGAAGCUGUUUGAAGAAUUAAACGGUCAACUCAUACACACAAUCCCAAUAAUGAUUCAAGAAAAUGAUUAUCAUUAUUCACCCAAGUACAAUUCUCCUUCUUCUAAAUCACCAAAAACAAAAACAAAAACCAUUACUCAACUCUAUGCAAUUCUUGAAUCUGUAUCCGACAGAAUAGAAAUGCAUCAAAACAUUGGCGAACAACGCGAUAAUUGGAAUACCCUUCUAUUAAACUCCAUCAACAUGAUCACUCUCACCGCCACCGCCAUGGCAGGUAUAUCAGCCAUAAGCGGCUCCGGUGCUCCUCUUUUAGCCCUCAAAUUAUCUUCCGCACUUUUAUUCUCAGCUUCUACUGGUAUGUUAAUUAUCAUGAACAAAAUCCAACCUUCACAACUUGCUGAGGAGCAAAGAAAUGCAACAAGAUUGUUCAAACAGCUUAAGUCCCAGAUUGAAACAACAAUAGCAAUUGGGAACCCCACAGAGGAAUAUAUAAAGGAUACUAUUCAAGAAGUUCUAGCUCUUGAUAGAGCUUAUCCACUACCUUUGUUAGGAGUUAUGAUUGAAAAAUUCCCUCAAAAAUAUGAACCUGCAAAUUGGAGGCCUACAAAAAAAUCAUCUAGAAGAAGCAACAAUAGUUUUCAUUCAGAAAAUAAUGAAACAAAGAAAAAUGGAUGGAAUGAAGGAUUAGAAAGUGAAGUAAAAGAUGUAUUAGAAGUUAUGAAGAGAAAAGAUAUGGAAGAUUAUGAGAGAUUAGGAAACUUGGUGUUGAAGAUAAAUAAGACAUUGGCUAUUGCAGGACCAUUACUCACUGGAAUUGCAGCUGUGGGGUCCACAUUUGUUGGUCAAGGUUCAUUGGCAUCUAUAGUACCUGUUAUGGCUGGAGCAUUGGCUACUGCUGUUAAUUCUUUUGAGCAUGGUGGACAAGUUGGUAUGGUUUCUGAAAUGUAUAGAGCUUGUGGUGGAUUCUUUCAAAUGAUGGAAAGUUCAAUUCAAGAGAAUAUAUUAGAAGAAGAUGAAGAACAAAGAGAAAAUGGAGAUUUGUUUGAAAUUAAAUUGGCUUUGAAAUUGGGAAGAAGUUUGUCACAAUUAAGAGAUCUUGCUAUAAAAUCAGCUUACUCUCGUGUUGAGGGAACUAUAGUUGAUGAAUUUGCAAGCAAGCUUUUCUAAUUGUUUUUAGUUUACUUUUUUCUUGAUCUAACUUAACAAUUCUUUGAUUCAAUUAUGAUUAUUUCUUACAAAUUCAUUGGUGUCCUUUUGAUUGUUUUUGUUAGGGGUGUUCAUGGAUUGGGUAAAUCCAAAAAACCAUCGAACCCACCCAAAAAAAACCAAAAAAGUGGGUUGGGUUGGGUGAUUGGGUGGAUAUGGUUUUAAAAAAUAAAAAACUCAUAAAAAAUAACGGGUUUUGGGUAAAACCAAACCCAAACCCAAUAAACCCACUUACCCAAUAAUGUUUAUUUUUUUUUUCAUUUUCAUUUUCAUAGGGAGGAAGGAGAAUAACAAAGAUUUUGGUUAUAAUCUUUCUUUAAAAUAAAAUGGUUAUAAACCAAGUCUAACUUCUAAAUUUGACACAAUAAAUCAUCUAUAUUGAAAAUCAAUGUCUAAUUUCUAAAAUUGACACAACACAUCCUCUAUAUUGAAAAUAAAAACAUGUUAGAGUUACAAAUUAUGAUGUUGAACUUUUUAGUUAUUUUGAAGUUAAAGCAAUUUUAUGCCAUCCCACUUUAGUUUGUUGCAAAUAUUUUAUUUUAUGAUGAAAUUUAUUAUUUAAUAUUAUAACUUAUUAUUUUAUAACGUUAAAAUAUAGUGAAAUAGGUUACACAAUUUUAUUAAGAAAAUAAAAAGUUGAGUAAAUUUUAUGAGAAAAAAAUAGGAGGAAGCGUCAUUAGUAUUAACAAAAAAACAAAAAAAAAUAACUUGGGUAACCCACCAUCCAACCCAAACCAAACCGAAAACUAGUGGGUUUGUCCAGACCCACCCAGUAAUAUAACGGAUGGACAUUUUACCUCACCCAAACCGGAGUACUCUAUAUGGUUCGGGUUUUGGGUUUGGUCAAACCCAACCCAAACCCACCCACGUACACCUCUAGUUUUUGUGUACAUUUGCUUGUAUAGAAACUAAAUUUAAUUAACCACCAACCAAUUGUUGUAAUUUUUGUAUAUUUCAAAAGUUUUAUAAUAUAUAUAUAGUUAAUAGAGAAUUAUUAUUAUUUUAUUUAUGAUUAAAAUUAAUAGUUGACUUGGUCUAAUUCUUUUGGCCACAUCAUUUUGACUUGGUUAAAUCUAAGUAUUUAUACUAUCAUUUGUUGCAACCGAAAAUAAUUAAAGGCACGUUAUAUUUUUAGUAUCAAUUGCUUUUAUAUUUGAGAAGUUAAUGCCUACUUUUUCUCACUAUUAAAACUGCCAAUUUCAUCUAUUAACAGGAACGCACGUUUUAGUUUCGAAGAAUUGGCAGUACCAUUUUCUUUUAUAUAAUAAAUAUCUAUAUCCUUUAUUUUACAUGGCAGACUCUCCUGAGUUUAUCAAAUUUAAGUUGUUCUGUCAUCUCUAGUAUGAUUCAUAUCAGAGAAUGAUUCAUAUCAGAGAAGAACAUGUUGUAUCCUAAGAGAAAAUGUGCUUAUGAGGCAGAUGAAUCCUUAACGACAGUGAUCCUAUCACGUCUCAGGUUUAUGUAAUGGUUUACUGUUUUGCAGGUUAUCACUUUCAUGGUUUAGUGUUUGUUUACUUUGAUUUUGCCGAGAUCAAAUUACCUCAAUUAUUUUUAAGAACGGAUGAGUUUACUUGAUAUCCCUCUUGUUUAUUCUCUUCAAUAUUUAAUUCAUGCUUUUAUUUGUAUGAUGAUUAUUAUUUAUAGAGAUAAUUUAUUCCUAUUUUUUACAACACCAAUAUUAUUAUAAUUAUACGUAACAAGUAAGAUUUUUUCGUAUCUAGGUUAAUCAUUGUUAAAAGUCCCACAUCAGUUAGGAGUUGGUCUGACAAUUUAUUUAUAAGUGGGGGCAAUCAUCACCUCACAAACCAGUUUUGUGGGGUUGUGUUAAGCUCAACCACGAUUUCUAAUAAUCACCAACUACUCACUUUUUUUAACGACCAUCAACUACUCAUUAGUCCUCGAUGUCUAGACAUUUUGUACACCAACUAGUUAUUGAUUAUAACUAGUCAUAAUCACUCUUUGGUGUCAAGCCAUUUGGGACCAUUGAGCAUUCACAAUUAGUCUGCUAUUAAUAAGCCUUGGACCGGGUCUCAACACUUCAAUUUUAUAAUUUUAAGAUUUUGUACAUAUAAUCAAUUCAUGCAUAUUUACAAUUUUUAGCAACAAAGUCUGGUUAUAAAGAAAACAUAAAAAUAAAGGAAAGUGUAAGCAAGAAUACAAGUGAUUAAUCACAUAAUUUAUCGUAUGGUGCCUAAGCCUCUAGCAGUAGAGUGGAAAUGAUUUUUUAUUAGAUUUAAUUACACUUUUGGUCCUUGUGUUUUGGCCUACUCACGAAAUUGGUCUUACCUUUUUAAAACAGAACAAAACGGUCUUCAAUUAUCAUUUGUGUUGCAUUUUUCGUCCUACCUCCUAUUUUCAAACUCCAGAAAUGCAGAGAAAUGACAGUUUUAAGCGGUUUUAGACCUACCCUAUGUUCAACCAUGAAAUCAACAAGGAAAUAAAACAUGUGGGUACAAGGAAUCUAUUCUAUCCAGCACACUAACAAAAAAAAAAACCUAAUUUGAAAAAUAUCUUAGAAAUUAGGGUUUUUUUGGUUAGUGUGUUGAAUAAAAUAAAGUGGAUUCUUUGUACCCACAUGCUUUAUUCCUUGUUUAUUUCAUGGUUAAUCAUAGGGGUAGGUCUAAAACUGUCAUUUCUCUGCGUUUUUGGAGAAUAAAAUUGGGGGUAAGACGAAAAAUGCAACAAAAAUGAUAAUUGAAGGACAGUUUUGUUCUAUUUUAAAAGGGCAGGACCAAUUUCGUGAGUAGACCAAAACACAAGAACCAAAAGUGUAAUUAAAUUUUUCUAUUAUUGAUCAUAAUGGCGUAUGUUCACCAUCUUGCUGACGUUUAUAGGAAUAGGACCUUUAACCUUUCAAUGGUGCUACCUGGAAAAUGUCCUUAAAACAUAAACAAUAUUUAUUAGUUGCGUGACUGAUUCUAUUGUGAUAUUUUUCGUUUUUGAAUUCAUGUGAUCAUUGAUGACACUCUGUCAUGUCAUCUCUCUGUUGUUAGUCAUUUUUUAUGUGAAACUCAUUGUAAACAUGGGAGUUGGAAGUUAAAAACAACAGUAAGCAGGAAGUUUGAGAAAAGCAAAAUCGGGCGUUUAAUUUCUUACCAUCGGGCGCCGAUUUCAAGGCACAAGAACCAGUUUGGUUCGACAUUUUUUGGCCACCGAUUUCGCAGGAGUGUGCAGCUGAAAUUUGAAUUCAUGAAGAUUUCGGGGGCCGAUUUUAACACUUCGGGGGCUGAUUUUCGAUGGAUCUAUUUAAGGCAAACACAUUUUCUGAAGAAGGGUUCGAGAUUUUUGAGAAAAAAGACAUAUUUUGAAGCUGAAGCAUUGAAGAUCUGGUGGGAGGCCAUCAAAACUCAUAGUCAGUCCUCCAUUACAUGUGUGAAUCUUGGUUUCGCAUUAGUUAUUUGUACUUUAGCUAUGAGUAACUAAUCUCCUUGUGGUUGAGACUUAGAUGAAACUGGUGUAAUUUUAUGGAGACCUAAUUUGUAUGAACUCUCUUGAAUAUAUCAAUGAAAGUCUAUUUUAAUUUAUUACCUUGUGUUUAAUGUUGUUUAUAUGUUUGUUUAUGAUUGACUACUAGCACUAGCAUCCCGAAUGUGUAAAUUGAUCCUAGAACUUAAAAGACCACUAGCCAUGGUUUUUGAAUAUCUGAUCUAGGAAACAUGUUUAACCUAAGUAAUUAAGCUAGAGAUAGAAAAUUAUUAGGUUAUGAUUUAGGGAUUAACGGAUUGUUAAAGUUUCGAAUUCACUUAAGAGAUUAAUGGUGUAUUUGAAUGGAGAGUUUAGGAGGGGAAGGGAAGGGAGGGUUUACUUUUAAUUUUUAAAUUAAGGACACUAUGAAAUGUUUUUUAAAAAGUUAACAUGAUAAAUGAUCAUAUAAUACUUCAAUCGCACUUAAUUUAUUUUAGAAAAACAUGUUAUAUCGUCUGUACUUUAAAAAUGAAAAGUAAACUCUCCCCUCCCUUUCCCUCCUAAACCCUCAAUCCAAACACGCCUUAAGGGAUUGUCAUUUGCAGACAGGGUUCUAGGUCAAGAGAUUGAGUAGAACCAUUUUAUUAAUCUGUUGUUAAACUAGAAAGACAUUGAUUGAACAGGGGUGCAAAUUACCAAAUAAGAACAUCGGAUGAUUCGAAUGUCUUAACUAUAUUUUUUCAUAAAUUUCUACAACCAAAGCUUUUAUCGGCUUUAAACAAUUUAUGUUACAAAUACCAACCCAACUACUUAGAACAACCUUAAAUUUAAUACAUCCUUUAAAUAAUGAAAUUGUUAAGUAAAAGUAAACAAAAAUCCUCAUAAAUACAAUCUUUAAUAUUACUUCGAUAAUUUUGAUACAUUUACCAAAAUCCUAUCAAUCAUAACAUUUCAUUUGUGUAUCUUUCAACAAGAUGUCAGAUGUUUUGUCGGUUUUAGUGACACCAAAUGUAUAAAUCUUUGAGAAAUGAUAUUUGAACAUCUAUUUUUUGACAAUUUUUGUGACAACUUUCUCUCUCAUACUUACAUUAUACUUUUACUUUCUCUCUCUAUUAUUUUGGUUUUCGUGUCAAUAACUAAUUUCCUUUAUAAAUUUAUGGUUGUUCCAAAAGUUGCCACCAAAAUAAUUGUUCAAAUAACACAUCUAUAAACCUUUCUAUUAAAAUAUGCGUUUCAUCUUAGCCUCGUAUGGGAUACAAACACAGGAAAGAGCAUUCUUUAACUUGGUAAGAUUUGUUUCACAAGUGUCUUGGUCCGACAAUUCUGAGGACUUAAAACAUAUUAAUUUGAUACUUUUCAGCCCUAAGUUGUUCAAUUUGUCGAACUUUUUCUCCUAAUUGGACCAAGUCAACAAGAUGUUGAUUGACCAAUUUUUCUCUAAUGUAAAAAUCUAAACCACCAAUCUACAACCAUUAUGAUGUCUAAACCUUUAUAGGUAAUUGUCGGCAAAAUCGUUACCAAUUCUUUUGAUAUUGUACUAAUCCAUCAAUAUUGGUUAAUGUAACCUUUAGGUCACCUCUGAAGAAUUGGUUAUGGAAACUACAUUCUAUCCAUUGUUGUCAAAAUUCAGAAUUCAAUCUUAAAAUUUAAAAUUUUGCGAUUUUACUUACCUUUAAUGACUCAAAUUCAUAGGAGAAUCUUAAAAUAGGCAAAAUCUUAGUAAAAUCGUAUCAAAAUCCUACAAAAUCCCGAAAUUCAUACAAAAUUGAAGGAUUUUGAAAGAUUUAGUCCACUUUUUUUAGUCAUUUAUGUAUAAAUAUUUUGUGGACUUACCGAGUAAUUUAUGACUAUAUAUAAUUUAUAAUAUAUAGUUAGCAUUAUUUUUGUUUUGGUAUAAUUCAUCGAUUUGUAUUGCGAUUUUACGAUUUUUGAUAUUGAUUCUACAAAAAUAGUUGAGCAAAAUCCUUCGAUUUUGAUUGCGAUUUUAGAAUUUUUGAUUUUUCUAUUCCCUUUCGACCUAAAGCAAAAUCCCGAUUUUGACAACCUUAAUUCUAACCGAGUCCAUGAGUGAAUAGAAUUUCACUUAGGGUGGAUAGCCAUGAGAAUGCAUUCUUGGUUAAAGAACUUGGGAUAAACUCAUUUUAACUAUUGCAAAUUCCCAUAUUUUUGUGGAGAAUUUUGCAAUGUGUUUAAUGAUUGAUUCCCCAAUAUCCCCUAUGAACAUGGCCAAUUUGGGAUAUUUAGCGCCUCUUGGGACUUCAACAUGUGUUGUGCCCUUUUAGAAGAUGGAGAAGUAAAGAACGAAUGAUUAGGAUGUUCCACGUCAAAACCAACCCUAUUGAGACCUAGCUCGACCACUUGAUAACAUUGUGGUCCAUUUGGUUGACUAAAAUGAUGCGCCCUAACGCAUCUACUAAAGGAUUUUGGUGAACAUACAAGUCACUGCUCAAUAACAGUUCACAUUCUCAUAUUGCAAUGGUGGCAAACGAUAAUGGUUAAUGUCGAGAUUGGCAUUUUAGAACUAUGUUUGAACCAUGUCGCUAUUCAUUUGUCUCCUAUGCUCAUUAACAUUCCCAAGAUUCAUGCAUAUGAAUAUGGCAUUUUUCGUCAAUUAGGGGAUAAAUGAUUUUGUUAUCCUGGAGAGUGUUUCCCUAUCCAGGUUGUGUCAAUGCCUAACACUUGGUUCAAUGUGACCACCUAAUCUAGGUGGCCAAAACAGAUCAAGCAUCGUUGUAUUUUCCACAAGCAUUAUCGUACCCGUUGUAUUUACUAUAAGAAAAAUGGGAGUACAUUAUACAAUUCUCUAAAGUUACUCCUCAAACGUUCAACGGUUUUAUUUUCAAAAUAAUUGAAAGAAUUCGUAUGAAAAGAAUGAAUCAAACAAAAAAAAAAUGUUGUUUUCAGAAGAGUUUGUUGGCGAAUUCAUCUAUCUCACGUCCUUCCAUCCGAUAGAGAGCAGAUUUCGAGGCAAAUUCUCUCAUCUCCAUUACACUUCUUCCCAAUUUUAAAGCAAUCUUCAUUUCAAACACUUCCCCGUUUUCUCUUUUAUUCAAAUCUUUAUCUUCAAUAGUUUCUUCAACCGUCUCUUCCAAAAGCUCAAAAAAUCCACUACAGUUUCUAUACAUCUGAAACAUCAUACCAACUUGUUCAAAAGUAUUAGCAACAGUUGUCAUUUAACUUUAUCAGAAAAAUCAUUCUUACAACUUCACCAUAAAAUUUUUUAUUUAUACUAAUAAUUGAGUCAAAACAAUAAUAAUUAUUUGUACUAAUCACGACUAGAAAAGAAGGUGCUAGAUACGUGCUUAUGUCAUAAUCUUGACCAAUUCCUGUUUAAAGUAAUGAAGCCAUAAAUGGAAACCCCAUCCCAUCAUUGGUGUACGUUAAUAUCAAUCAAUUAACAUUCUAAUAAAUGCAUGGCCCUAUAGUACUUUCGCUUCAGUUACAUAUACUAAUGAAAUACAGUAAGACUCAUGUCUCGUAUCGUAUGUUUCUUAUUCUUAAAUACUAUAUUGUGAAUUUGUGACACGCAAGACAACAUGUCAACAUAUAUGUCUCGUGUGUUUGUCUCCUCUGCAUUAGAUUAUUAGGCAUUUCUAACUCAAUAUAUAGGAGGUGAAUGUGUUUUACACAUCUACAAUAUACAAAGCAAACAUCUGCUCCAGAUGCUUCAAAAUUUUGGAUAAAAAAAAAAAGCCUAAAAAAUGUAAUUUAGUUAUAAAUCUUAAUGUUUCAAAUUCUAGCACCACUACUAAAAAACAAAAAUUAGUGAGGGAAAUUUUGUGAGGGAAAACGUGAAAUCCCUCUCUAAUUCCGUCACUAAAUUUUACGAUCAUAAAAUUUGUGAGGAAUUUUAUUUUUUCCGUCACUAAUUUCCCCCGCUAAUUUUGUUUUUUCUAGUAGUGCACAUCAUGCAGAAAAACUCCAUAAGGUUUGAUAUUCAUCAAAGUGAAUAUUGUUGAGUAUGACUCAUAUAUAGAAAUGGAAGAGAGGCAAGGGGCUCACAGUCGUUGUUGUAAUCUAAAUUGUAACUAUAUAUUAGAUUUUUGACUCGUGCUCCGCUUGGGUUUAUUGUAAAGGAUUGACAUACGAAUAAUAAAAUGCAAUAUAUAAUUGGUAACGGUGAAAAAAAAAAGUUGUAAGGUCACUUCUUUCCAUUUGCAAAGCUCUAAAUAUCAAAAUAUAUGAUUUUUGUGUUGUGUGUGAAAAAAAAAAUUGUUGUAAGGUCGCGUCUUUCUAUUUGCAAAGCUCUAAAUAUCAAAAUAUAUGUAUGUCUUAGAAAAUUUUGCUGGAAAAUUCAUCUAUGUCAACACCUUCCAUGCGAUAAGAAGCUGAUUUUGAUGCAAGUUCCCUUAGCUCUGAUACACUUUUUCCCAAUUGCAAAGCCAUCUUCAUUUCAAAUAGCUCUCCAUUUUCUCUUUUCUCUAAAUCUUUCUCUCCCAAAGUUGAUUCAAUUGAAGUUUCUAUCAAGUUGAAAAAACCAGCAGAAGCUCUAUACAUUUCAAAAACCAUGCCAACUUGUCCACCAUGCUCAAAAGUAUUAAUUACAGAAGCCAAUAGAGGAACAAAAGCAGCCAAAGAACUAUUGCCAAUAAAUGUAGAUCCUAUAGCUGCAAUUCCUGAGAGUAAUGGCCCUGCAAUUGCCAAACUCUUGUUUACCUUCAAUGCUAUGUUUCCAAGUCUAUCAUAAUCUUCAACGUCUUUUCUCUUUAUCACUUCAACAACAUCCCUCAUUUCCAUUUCUAAUUCUUCACUCCAUUCGUUCAUUUUUCCUAUUUUAUUGGACGAUUUGUAUUUCUCCAUCUCACCCUUAACAUAUUUCUCACUAGGAUUUCCAAGAGCAAUUGUAGUUUGAAUUUGCCUUUGAAGUUACUUGAACAAUCUUGUGGCAUUCCUUUGUUCUUCUGUGAGUUGAGAGGGUUGGAUUUUGUUCAUGAUAAGCAACAAUCCGUUGGCUGCCGAAAACAGGAGAGCAGAAGAUAGUUUCAGAGCCAAAAGUGGUGCAACUUCCCCACUUGUGACAGCUGCAACACCAGACAUAGUCUUAGCAGUGAGAGUAAUCAUGUUUAUUGAGUUCAAAAGAAGAUUAUUCCAGUUGUUACGUUCGCCAAUGUUGUGAUGCAUUUCUAUUCUGUCUGAUACAGCUUCUAAAACUGUAGAGUUGAAUUGUGGCUUUAGAAUUUGUAGAAUGCUUUUGUUGUUGAUCUUGUAAUAUUUCUGUUUUGUUGAUGUGUUCAUUGUUUUGUAGUUUUAAUUCUUGAUCAACAACUUGUUUUCUGGUUUGAAUAGUUGGCAAUGAAAUAUUUGGGAGUUUUGGAAGAUUAAUUGCAGCAUUAAUUACUCUCUUUGAAGAUGAUAAAGAACAAGAAGUUAGAACUGAAGUUUGUAAUAUUGAAGCCAUGAUAUAUACAAAUUAAUAAUAUUUGAAGAUGUUUGCUUUGUGUUAAUUUAGGAUAGUGUAUAGUUGGGGAAAUAAAAAGGUUUUGGUUUUUUGUAAUAUUGUUUGAAUGUUUUAUAUUUUGUAAGGUGGUAUGCAAUAUUUAUAUGCCAAAGAGAAUGGGAAGGGGUCAAAAUCAAAUAAGGAAACUAUGAUUGACCAAUUGAAUUAAUUAAAAAUUGACAUAGUCUCUGUUCAAAAUUCCAAGCCUUGUGUAUGUUGGGUGGUCUCAACAUGCAACGUUGUACAAAUAAAACCACAAUUAAGGCUGCGUUACAUGCAAGAAUUAUGAAACUAAGUAGUAGCUUGGUAAUUAGCAUGCAACAAAGGCUAUGGACUUUUUCUCUAUUUCAUUUCAUUCACUAAUUUUUUACUUUUCAUUUGUCAUUAUAUAAGCUAUAUAUGGCUAGUGCUCCAUUAGUUUUAGAAAUGUCUUUGAUUUUGAAGUAUCUUUGGGUUUGGUCAUACCAUUUGUCAAUAUAUAAGCCAUCUUCAGCAUUUUAAUUUUAAAAAUUUGAAUAUUCUUCUAUGUGGACUUUUGUUUUGGUAGUCAAAACAAUUAAGAUGCACUCUCAACUAAUGUUCCAUAAUUAAACUUUGAAUCAAAUAGAGAAUCAAGUAUCUACCACUUAUGUUACAUUCUGUUAUUUUAGUUUUUUGGUUGAUUUUUUAUUAUUUCAAUUUAAGAUUUGAAGAAUGAGAAAAUAUAAUUUCAAAUCAAUAUAGAUAUAAAAGGAUUGACUAAAUCUACCAAAAAAAAUAUUGAAUAAUAGAUAAAUGUUUUGGAAUGGAAAAAGACAUGUCAACCUAAAAAGUCUAAAGAGGAUGGAUACCAACCUUAAAGCAACUACUAUCAAUAAAGAUUUGGGGUUGAAUUACUAUAGAAAAGAAAUGUUCAGGGGAAUUGAGUUGUGUUCUUAUGACCAAAGAAUAUUUGUGAAACAAACAUAGACAUAUUAGAGUUUGUUUUUCGUCAGAAAUGGUGGGUAAUUUACCCCAACCAAUACACAUUAGCCACAUAAGUAUAUUUUAAAGUGGUAUCCAUGAACUAUCUUGACCACACCAACAAAUUGCUCAUUUUCAUUGGUUGGCAGGUAAAUUAUCCACCAUUCUUCAAAGAUAAUCUAGAAAAAACCUUUAAAAAAACAUAUAAUCAUCUUUUAAAAAAAAAAAACAUAUAAUCAAUUUAAAUAUUCGGGCAAAUCAUAACAUUCAGAUCUAAUAAAACAUAAUCAAUUUACGUACACACAAAAAGAAAACUGCAAUUUAGCAUCAAACAUUUUAGCGUCAAACCAUUUAUGAUAUUAAUAGCAUAGUAUAUAUUUAGAAUCCACUAAAUCUAACACAAAUGUUUCUUUCUUUCUUUUUUUACGCAUCUUCGCGUCAGUCUUGCGGACGCUAUAAACUAUAAUCGUAAAAGCUAAUUAUUUCUAACGUCUACUAAAUUUGGACGCUAAUUUUCUUAUUGUUUAAAUAGUGUCUAUUAAUUCUUAAGCUAAAAUAUUUUUACCCAAAUUUUUUAACACUUCUAUUUUAACAUAUUCCUUAAUUUUUCCACCAUUAUUCGUACAUUUCCCUCAUUCUUACUAAAAAAAUCUCAACUUUACUCCGACUCAAGCUAAAUUGGGGAAGAAAAGAUAUAUAUCAUGAAUUCUCCUACUCAAUUACAUUAUAUAUGAAGUUAAAAAUUAUAUACAGAAUCAGAUCGCUGUAAUCUAUAUUUACAUUUGUUUUCUAUGUUAUGAAAGAAUUAAAGAAUGUCUAUUGUCUUGAAGAAAUAAUAUCUCAGAAGAGCUUGCUGGCAAAUUCAUCUAUUUCGAUACUUUCCAUGCGACAAGAAGCUGAUUUUGAGGCAAGUUCCCUCAGCUCUGUGACACUUCUUCCCAAUCGCAAAGCCAUUUUCAAUUCAAAUAGCUCUCCAUUUUCUCUUUUCUCUAAAUCUUUCUCUCCCAAAGUUGAUUCAAUUGAAGUUUCUAACAAGUUGAAAAAACCAGCAGAAGCUCUAUACAUUUCAAAAACCAUGCCAACUUGUCCACCAUGCUCAAAAGUAUUAACAGCAGAAGCCAAUGAACCAGUCAAUAGAGGAACAAAUGCAGCCAAAGAACUAUUGCCUACAAAUGUAGAUCCAAUUGCUGCAAUUCCUGUGAGUAAUGGCCCUGCAAUUGCCAAACUCUUGUUUACCUUCAACGCUAUGUUUCCAAGUCUGUCAUAAUCUUCAGAAUCUUUUCUCUUGAUCACUUCAGCGACUUCCUGCAUUUCCAUUUCUAAUUCUUCACUCCAUCCAUUGUUCAUUUUCCCCAUCUUCUUGCUUUGAGUUUUUACCUUUUUGGAAAUAGGCCACCAAUUAGCAGGUUCAAAUUUUGAAGGGUAUUUUUCAAGCAUUGCUCCCAAUAAAGGAAGAGGGUAUGCUUUAUCAAUUGCCAAAACCUUUUCCAUUGCAUCUUUGACAUCUUCCUCGGUAGGAUUUCCAAUAGCAAUUGUAGUUUUGAUAUGACUUUGAAGUUGCUUGAACAAUCUUGUAGCAUUUCUUUGUUCCUCUGUGAGUUGAGAGGGUUGGAUUUUGUUCAUGAUAAACAAUAAUCCAGUGGCAGCAGAGAAUAAAAGAGCAGAGGACAGUUUCAUAGCCAUAAGUGGUGCACCUUCCCCGUUUGUGACAGCUGCAACACCAGACAUGGUUGUAGCAGUGAGAGUAAUCAUAUUUAUUGAGUUUAAUAGAAGAUUAUUCCAGUUGUUACGUUGUUCGCCAAUGUUGUGAUGCAUUUCUAUUCUGUCUGAUACAGCUUCCAAGACUGCAUAGAGUUGAACUGUAGCAUU